Molecule: ribosomal RNA, 275 nt
Filed under: uncultured Parabacteroides sp.
Lineage: Bacteria; Pseudomonadati; Bacteroidota; Bacteroidia; Bacteroidales; Tannerellaceae
Description: partial 16S ribosomal RNA
Rfam family: Bacterial small subunit ribosomal RNA
Source: RNAcentral
AUGGUCUUAGCUUGCUAAGGCCGAUGGCGACCGGCGCACGGGUGAGUAACGCGUAUGCAACUUACCUAUCAGGAGGGGGAUAACCCGGCGAAAGUCGGACUAAUACCACAUGAAGCAGGGAUCCCGCAUGGGAAUAUUUGCUAAAGAUUCAUCGCUGAUAGAUAGGCAUGCGUUCCAUUAGGCAGUUGGCGGGGUAACGGCCCACCAAACCGACGAUGGAUAGGGGUUCUGAGAGGAAGGUCCCCACAUUGGGACUGAGAUACGGUCCAGACUCC